CUCAAGUGAUCAAGAUGUCUAAUCAUGAAAAUGCAUGUGCUCACAUGGCAGAAAAUCUCCAAGGCAUAGAGACUCAGCUGCUAGAAGCAUCACCUCUCAGCAGUGGGAGUAAAAUGAAGGGACUCGUUUCAAGACUGCAGAGCUGAUGCACCACUUAAGAAACACAACUGCCACGGGCCUUGAUCACCUGGCUAGAGUCAUGUCUGUUGACUUUCUCCACCAUGAAGUUACUUGAGGAUCGGGCAGAGGAUUUACA
RNAcentral lists this long non-coding RNA (256 nucleotides) under Mus spicilegus (steppe mouse). Its description in RNAcentral is "lncRNA (ENSMSIG00000003690.1)". The record is from RNAcentral. Lineage: Eukaryota; Metazoa; Chordata; Mammalia; Rodentia; Muridae.